This 1830-nucleotide long non-coding RNA is filed under the name Homo sapiens (human). RNAcentral describes it as "non-protein coding lnc-RIN3-2:1". The record is from RNAcentral. Lineage: Eukaryota; Metazoa; Chordata; Mammalia; Primates; Hominidae.
AUUCUGUUUUUCUACUACUGCUUUCGUGACAUAAUUAGAUUAUCAUUAUUAGUGUGUUGUAUAAUUAACUUAUCAUAAUUAGCUGUCUUUCCAGACACACUGUGAGUGCCUCAGCUCACCACCCAGCCAGUAGCUGGCAUGGGAUGGUUGCAAACCUUUAUAGAAUGGUUCGAAUGGGAUCAUGGCUACCUCUUUGGGUGACCCCCAUCCUCUCUGCUAGACUCCUGGGGGCAGAGCAGGGUGGGAAAGACAGGAGGAAGCAGGGCAGCUGAAAGCCACAGAGGGAAGGGAGGUGGGAUGACUGUCCUUGAGGGCCAUGAAAAGGAAGAGGCAGAGAAGGUACAGAUAGUUACUCAUAAACACACCAGAUGAAACAGGUGUAUUCACAGUCAGCAGCAGCUAUGCAGGGCAGAGGGAGGAGACAGGAGGAUGGUGACUGUGGGGACCAGGGGUGACUUUGGAACACACAGCCCAGUGGAAAAUGGCCUUUCCUUCAACCUGAGAGCCCCGUGGUGGGUGGGAGGGAGGCACAGCCUCUGUCCCUCUGCCUGCUGCACUCAUCCCUCAUCUGUGCAUGGCUGGCCCCUCUUCUUCCUUCAGGCCUCACCUCUCUGAUCACCCAGAGGAUCUCAGAGCCUCUCUAUCAGUCACUUCUGGAUGACAAACUGAUUGGGUGACCAAGGCAGGUGGCUCCUGCUCCAUCAUAGCCAACGGAAUCUCAAGCAUGUCUGGCACAGACUGGGUGCCUCAUUAGUGUUUGCUAAAGGAAGCUCGUCACUUGCCCUCCUCCCUGCACCCCAGCAACCUGCUUGUGGUCCCAAAGGUGCCGUGAGAGCCCCUUCCUCCUGCCUUGCCCCUGCCCUUUCCACUGCCCAGGACUUCUCCCUCCCUAUCCUUCCAGAUGAACUUAUGUGGUGCCCUCCACCCUUGAAGCCCUCCUGGCUACCCCUGGCCUGAAGCGGGCUCUCCUCCCUUGGCACAUUCAGGCCACUGGCACCGCCAUCCUUAAAGUCUGCCCAGCUCCCACUGCCCGGCUUCCUCAGGCCUGUCUCCAGAGCGCCCGGAGGGCAAGGACUGUGUGCCGUCGUUGGCUUAUAUUGCCUGGCACACACUGGCAUUCACUGGGGAAGGGUUUGAGUUAAACCUGAAUUCACCUCACCAGGCGAUUGGAGCAUUGGUGAGACUGGGUCUGCAGAGCAGCUGGUGCUCUUAAAACACGGCCAUUCCAAGCCUUGCCAUGGUCCUGGUCCUUGUUUUAGAGCAGAGCCUUCUGGAUGGGCCCUUUGGGUCACAUACAGGCCUUUAUAUCUGGUGGGGCCAGCCCAGGAGGGCUUAGGUGGACACCCCAAUCCCCGGGGACCGACCUCAAGGUCUCUGCUGCCUGAGCCCUUGUAUUUACAAGGAAGACCAGGAGGAGCCCCGGGUGCUGGUCUGUGCCGCCUUCCCUCAGACCCUUCCCCUCUGUGGGGACCCAUGGUGGCUUAUCUUACAGUGUGACAUGUUGGUGACAACCAGCCAGGCUUUUCCCCAGGGCCUGCGAGUCACUUGGGGUGUGUGUGCUGGGACACUGAGGCCCCCAAGCAGGUGACUAUAUUGGCCACUUAUGUUCAUUUUUGACCUACUGUGUGUGUCGGCUGCUGUUCUUGGAAUUUCCUGUAUGCUAACUAUGAAUUCUUACAAGACUUGAGAAGACUGAGGCAGAGAGUGAGAGAGUAAUGUAGUUGCCCAAGGUCGCAUGGUGUAAGUAGCAGAGGCAAGAUUCGAACUAGGCUGUCUGGCCCCAGAGCCCGCCUUCAAACACCACUCCAUGCUGCGUGUACUAAGCAUCUG